This 393-nucleotide ribosomal RNA is filed under the name uncultured Dolichospermum sp. RNAcentral's name for it is "bacterial SSU rRNA". It matches the Rfam family "Bacterial small subunit ribosomal RNA", at positions 1074 to 1465 of the family's 1533-position model. The record is from RNAcentral. Lineage: Bacteria; Bacillati; Cyanobacteriota; Cyanophyceae; Nostocales; Aphanizomenonaceae.
GUUGGGUUUAAGUCCCGGCAACUGAGCCGCCAUCCUCGUUUGUUAGUUGCCAGCAUUAAGAUGGGCACUCUAGAGAGACUGCCGGUGACAAACCGGAGGAAGGUGGGGAUGACGUCAAGUCAGCAUGCCCCUUACGUCUGUGGGCUACACACGUACUACAAUGGUACGGACAAAGGGCAGCUACACAGCGAUGUGAUGAGAAUCUCAUAAAUCGUAGCUCAGUUCAGAUUGAAGGCUGCAACUCGCCUUCGUGAAGGAGGAUUCGCUAGUAAUUGCAGGUCAGCAUACUGCAGUGAUUAGUUUCCGGUCCUUGUACACACCUCCCUUCCCACCAUGGAAGUUGGUCAGCUCGGAAGUCGUUACCCCAACGCAAGGGGGGGGAUCCUAAGGUAG